UACGAAGGGGGCUAGCGUUGUUCGGAAUUACUGGGCGUAAAGGGCGCGUAGGCGGUGAUCUUUGUCAGAGGUGAAAGCCCGGGGCUCAACUCCGGAAUUGCCUUUGAAACGGGAUUGCUUGAGUCCGAGAGAGGAUGGCGGAAUUCCUAGUGUAGAGGUGAAAUUCGUAGAUAUUAGGAAGAACACCGGUGGCGAAGGCGGCCAUCUGGCUCGGUACUGACGCUGAUGCGCGAAAGCGUGGGGAGCAAACAGGGAU
RNAcentral lists this ribosomal RNA (256 nucleotides) under uncultured bacterium. RNAcentral's name for it is "partial 16S ribosomal RNA". It matches the Rfam family "Bacterial small subunit ribosomal RNA", at positions 524 to 779 of the family's 1533-position model. The record is from RNAcentral.